This is a long non-coding RNA of Lemur catta (Ring-tailed lemur), 1221 nucleotides long. RefSeq lists it as uncharacterized. The transcript is spliced from 4 exons. The record is from RefSeq and is a predicted model, not a curated record. NCBI's taxonomy places the organism in Eukaryota, Metazoa, Chordata, Mammalia, Primates, Lemuridae.
AGAAUGCAGCCCUCGCUGUCGCAGAUCUGCUUCUGGUAUUGGCCCUCCACGCUGAGAUGGGGCGUCAGAGGCGCUCGGUUCCCCCAGGUCUCUGCCCCCACCAGCCUUAUAUGUGCAACUUCUCCCUGAAGGAAGAGGGAAACCUCCUCAGACUUGCUUGUCUCCUUGUCCCUAGGCCCUUCCAAACCAAUGCACCUGUGGGUUUUCCUUCACGUGCCUCUGGCAAGCCCCAUCCCUUCUGUCCCGUCCUUGGGCAGAGAGGUCAUUACCUCCAAGUGGAAGCCCCUACGUUUUCACCCAAUUUUAACCUUUUCACCCAUUUUUAACCUUGCUCCGUAAGGACAGUAACUGUACCUGAAGGUGUCUGGGCCCUGCAAUAGCCUCAUCUGAGUGACCAAGGGGCUUGGGAGUCCCUCUCUUCCAUUCCUUGAAGCCCAGAGUGAACUGACAGCCUCGUGAUCCUGGACUUGGGGCCGUAUUGAGAGAGUACUUUGAGGUCCCUUCCCUUCCAGCAUCUCUCAAGGGGGACUCUGCAGGGCAGAAGUGGGAUCAGGUCAGAUCAAGAUCAGUUGACUGGCAGAACUUAGCAACUCCCUCCCUGAAAGCAAUUCUCCUGGAUCCAAAAAGCUGUACUUCGCACACGUUCUGGAAAGUCACUGGGGGCAGAAGACAAGGUCAUCUGUAGAUGGGGCUUCCUUUCCUCCAGCUAAAAUAACAUUUACAGGACUGUAUUGGGACCACCUUGAGGCCAGUGAAGACACCGUCUUACCCAAAAGAACACAAAUCUAACUCCUGAAAGUACUGAGGAAUGUAAGAGGGAAUGUAAAAAUGAUACACCUGCUGUGAAAACCAGUUCCUGUGUCUUAUAAAGUUAAACAUACUCUCAACAAUUCCACUCCUAGGUAUUUACCCAAGAGAAAGGAAAAAGUAUGUGUGAAAAAGGAUAUGUACUCCAAUUUCAUAGCAGCUUUAUUUAUAAUGGACCCAAACUGGAAACAAUUCUAAUGAUCAUCAACAGGUGAAUAGAUAAACAAAUUCAUGCAAUGGAAUAAUAAUCAGCAAUAGAAAUAGAAGGAACUCUUGCUACUUGCAACAUGGAUGAAUUUCCAAAACACGCUGAAUGAAAAGAAGCCAGCCACAAAAGCAUGUGUACUAUGAUUGCACAUGAAGUUCUAGAAUAGACAGGGUCUCACUCUGUCAUCCAGGCUAGAGUGCAGUGGC